Small nuclear RNA from Polypterus senegalus (gray bichir), 184 nucleotides. RefSeq annotates it as U2 spliceosomal RNA. The record is from RefSeq and is a predicted model, not a curated record. Lineage: Eukaryota; Metazoa; Chordata; Cladistia; Polypteriformes; Polypteridae. The transcript has a single exon.
CACGCUUCUGCCUUUGGCUAAGAUCAAGUGUAGGUAUCUGUUCUUAUCAGUUUACAUCUGAUACGUCCCCUAUCUGGGGACCAAUAAGUAUUAAAUUGAUUUUAAACAGGGAGAUGGAAUAGCGCUGUUCAUUCAAUUCCACUUAUCUAAUCUGGCAUUGCACUUCCAGGAGCGUGCACUUUCU